This 253-nucleotide ribosomal RNA is filed under the name uncultured bacterium. Its description in RNAcentral is "partial 16S ribosomal RNA". It matches the Rfam family "Bacterial small subunit ribosomal RNA", at positions 524 to 776 of the family's 1533-position model. The record is from RNAcentral.
UACGUAGGGGGCUAGCGUUGUCCGGAAUCAUUGGGCGUAAAGCGCGCGUAGGCGGCCCGGUAAGUCCGCUCUGAAAGUCCAGGGCUCAACCCUGGACAGGCGGUGGAAACUACCAAGCUGGAGUACGGUAGGGGCAGAGGGAAUUUCCGGUGGAGCGGUGAAAUGCGUAGAGAUCGGAAAGAACACCAACGGCGAAAGCGCUCUGCUGGGCCGACACUGACACUGAGAGACGAAAGCUAGGGGAGCGAAUGGG